UGCUGUUGGUCUUGUUGCUGCUGCUGCUGCUGUUGCUGUUGCUGUUUUUGUUGUUGGCUUAGCCUGGAAUGCAACAUCAACAGCAAUGGCAGGCAGCAGUAACAUCAACAGCA
This 113-nucleotide microRNA precursor is filed under the name Drosophila guanche. The record is from RNAcentral. Lineage: Eukaryota; Metazoa; Arthropoda; Insecta; Diptera; Drosophilidae.